UUUUCAAUAACAAAAUUUUUUAUUUUUUAACCAAACAGGAAGAACAAACCAUCAACGCACACAUUGGCAUUGGUCAACAACCAAAAAGACUAUGUUAAAUAAAUAAAAAUAAAAACUCCUCUUCACGCCAUAAAUAAGACUAUACGUCAAUACCCAAUAAUCCUGUGCAUCGACUAACUCUACAUCGCCAAAACGGCAGCGAAGAAGCCAGCAGCCACAGUUCCAGAACAAGCAAAUCUGUUUGAAACGGCGCCGUUUUUAGGUGAAGGACCUUCAGAUGGCGGGUCGGAGUUUGCGGAUGGAGGAGGAGGACUAGUUGCUGGAGGAGGAGAAGACUCUGGAGAGGGUGCUGGCGACGGAUUACUCUCUUUAGGUGCAGAAGGAGAGACAGUUGGUCCAGAUUGAGGAGCGGCGGCUGGUUCCGGAGUUGGAGUCGGUGACGACGGUGGAGAUUUCAUGGGAGAAGGUGCUGGUGAGGACAAAGGAGAUUGAGCUAAAGCGGAGGUCAAGAACAGUGCCAUUAGCAUCAAAACGACAACGCUUGAGCGAGCCAUUAUGAAGGAGGUGAAGACGCGCAAAAGUUGCAGAGACUAGAACUUGUACGCUAAAACAGAGAGAGUCAGC
Molecule: unclassified non-coding RNA, 624 nt
Filed under: Hevea brasiliensis (rubber tree)
Lineage: Eukaryota; Viridiplantae; Streptophyta; Magnoliopsida; Malpighiales; Euphorbiaceae
Source: RNAcentral